GGCUUAAACAACAGGUAUUUAUUUUUUCACUGUUCUGGAGGCUUGGAAGUCUAAGAGUGCCAGUAGGGUUGAGUUCUGGUGAGGGCUCUUUCUGGCUUGAAGGUAGCCGCCUUCCCACUGUGUCCUCACACAGCAGAAAAAGAGCACACACAAAUUUUCUGUUGUCUCCUCUUAUAAGUGUGUUAAUCCCAUGAUGAGAGCCCCACUCAUGAUCUCAUCUAGUCCUAAUUAUUUCCCAAAGGCCCCAUCUCCAAAUACCAUCACACUGAGGAUCAGGGCUUCAGCAUUUGGAUUUGCAGGGACACAACUUAGUUCACAGUAUUAAGGCAGGUGGGAGGAAGCUGAGACUCUGAGGGCACUGGUGAGCUGAGACAUCAAAAUCAAUCAUUACUCUGUUUUAGGUCAGGUGUGGCAGCAUGCACCUGUAGUCCCAGCUACUCGGGAGGCUGAGGUGGGAGGAUCACUUGAGCCGGGAGCAUCGAGGCUGCAGUGAGCCAUGAUCACACCACUGCACUCCAGCCUGGGCAAAAGAGUGAGACCCUUUAGAAGAUGCUGUAUGGAGAAAGAAUUCCCUCGUUGAGUAUUUUCAGGUUGCGUCAAGACUCCCAGCUCCCUGCUAAGCAUUUCCUCCUGAGGCAGCUGAUAUCAGCUGUCCUCUCUUCUCUCUUAGUCAGCAAGAAAAGCCAGGGGGUUCCUUUCUUUUCUUUUCUUUUUUUAAGGCUAACAUAUACAUGGACUGUUUUCUUUCUUUGAGGGUGGGAGAAAGGGAAAACUUAAGUCAUUUGUCUUUUCUUUCCCAUAAGUGAUCAUAUAGUAUCAAAUACUAUUCAAGUAUUUGCAAAAUGGUUACACUUCUGAGGCACAUGUUGUU
RNAcentral lists this long non-coding RNA (871 nucleotides) under Homo sapiens (human). Its description in RNAcentral is "HSALNT0180999". The record is from RNAcentral. Lineage: Eukaryota; Metazoa; Chordata; Mammalia; Primates; Hominidae.